This 596-nucleotide long non-coding RNA is filed under the name Pogona vitticeps (central bearded dragon). Its description in RNAcentral is "lncRNA (ENSPVIG00000018801.1)". Lineage: Eukaryota; Metazoa; Chordata; Lepidosauria; Squamata; Agamidae. The record is from RNAcentral.
AUGGAUUUAGAUCCACUCCUUUAACAAAUGCUUCUGAUCCAGGAAUUACAAUCGCUGGGUGUGAGCCUGGGGAGGAGCAAAGUCUUCUGGAAUUCCAAGCCCAGGUCUUUGGACUGUGUGGUUAAUUCAUAACAGAUCCACUGCUGGAGCAGAGAUGAGACGGAAUCCUCUGUGACGGUGUGCGGGGACUGGAUGGAGCUGGGUACGACUGCUAGUCAUUGCUUCUAAGAUGCCGGUUCUACACUUUGCCCGGGCCUAAGAGUACCCAGCUAAGGACUGCUGCGCUGCUGAGAUGGGAGAAGUCAGGGUUUCCCUUGAAGAUGGAGGAGGUCUGGUCAACCCUGCGCUGGAACUUACGGAAGCAGAAGGAAAUCCAGGGAUCAAAAAGAAUGGCUGUUCAUCUGAGCUUAUAGAAGAAAAUAACGCACAACCUGCUCCUAGCCAAAGGUACAGUCAACAAGGGAGAGCCCCGUUUAGAUACCACCAACAACCCCACCCGCCCCCGGCUUGUGGAAUGCAAGGAGGAGGAUCAUCCACACCCUGAGUUUUUUAUAUCCACCCCGUGGCACUUAAGCAAGGCUUGAAGGGGCAUCAUG